UGCCCUUAACUCUGGGAUAAGCCUGGGAAACUGGGUCUAAUACCGGAUAUGACCUUCCAUCGCAUGGUGGUUGGUGGAAAGCUUUUUGUGGUUUUGGAUGGACUCGCGGCCUAUCAGCUUGUUGGUGAGGUAAUGGCUUACCAAGGCGACGACGGGUAGCCGGCCUGAGAGGGUGACCGGCCACACUGGGACUGAGACACGGCCCAGACUCCUACGGGAGGCAGCAGUGGGGAAUAUUGCACAAUGGGCGCAAGCCUGAUGCAGCGACGCCGCGUGAGGGAUGACGGCCUUCGGGUUGUAAACCUCUUUCAGUAGGGAAGAAGCGAAAGUGACGGUACCUGCAGAAGAAGCGCCGGCUAACUACGUGCCAGCAGCCGCGGUAAUACGUAGGGCGCAAGCGUUAUCCGGAAUUAUUGGGCGUAAAGAGCUCGUAGGCGGUUUGUCGCGUCUGCCGUGAAAGUCCGGGGCUCAACUCCGGAUCUGCGGUGGGUACGGGCAGACUAGAGUGAUGUAGGGGAGACUGGAAUUCCUGGUGUAGCGGUGAAAUGCGCAGAUAUCGGGAGGAACACCGAUGGCGAAGGCAGGUCUCUGGGCAUUAACUGACGCUGAGGAGCGAAAGCAUGGGGAGCGAACAGGAUUAGAUACCCUGGUAGUCCAUGCCGUAAACGUUGGGCACUAGGUGUGGGGGACAUUCCACGUUUUCCGCGCCGUAGCUAACGCAUUAAGUGCCCCGCCUGGGGAGUACGGCCGCAAGGCUAAAACUCUAAUAGCG
This 772-nucleotide ribosomal RNA is filed under the name uncultured bacterium. RNAcentral's name for it is "bacterial SSU rRNA". It matches the Rfam family "Bacterial small subunit ribosomal RNA", at positions 127 to 915 of the family's 1533-position model. The record is from RNAcentral.